CCAAACUUGGUCAUUUAGAGGAAGUAAAAGUCGUAACAAGGUCUCCGUUGGUGAACCAGCGGAGGGAUCAUUACCGAGUUUACAACUCCCAAACCCCAUGUGAACCUUAUACCACACGUUGCUUCGGCGGGAACGCCCCGGCUCCUCGAGCCCGGACCAGGCGCCCGCCGGGGACCCCCAAACCCAUUGUUUCCUACAGUAUUCUCUGAGUGGCAAACGCAAAAUAAAUCAAAACUUUUAACAACGGAUCUCUUGGCUCUGGCAUCGAUGAAGAACGCAGC
This 281-nucleotide unclassified non-coding RNA is filed under the name uncultured fungus. Its description in RNAcentral is "partial contains small subunit ribosomal RNA, internal transcribed spacer 1, and 5.8S ribosomal RNA". The stretch from base 1 to 73 matches the Rfam family "Eukaryotic small subunit ribosomal RNA", at positions 1759 to 1831 of the family's 1831-position model. The record is from RNAcentral. Lineage: Eukaryota; Fungi.